RNAcentral lists this ribosomal RNA (516 nucleotides) under Triticum aestivum (bread wheat). Its description in RNAcentral is "partial small subunit ribosomal RNA". Lineage: Eukaryota; Viridiplantae; Streptophyta; Magnoliopsida; Poales; Poaceae. The record is from RNAcentral.
CUCGUAGUUCAGGAAACGACGCUAAUAGCUGUGGUUUUGGCCUGGAUUCUGUUGGUCCAUAGGAGAGUUGUUCGUCGGAAUGAAAAACCUCUCAUUUGGCAUGGUUCGAUGUUAAUCCGGGAUCGAGAGAGAAUAGUCAAUCUGAACUACAUCUACAGCUGCAACGACAGAGAGGUUCUAUGGAUGCUUUGAAUGAAAAGAGAACCUUUCGCUAGGCUUGUGCAGAUGUUCAGGAGCAGGGGGGUUCUAGAAGAUAGCAUCGACACCACUAUGGAAGAGCAAGUAGCCAUGUUCCUCUAUGUUGUUGGUCAUAACCAGAGGUUUAGAGUUGUGUACAACACCUUCAGGAGAUCAAUGGAGACCAUCUCCAGGUACUUCAAGCAAGUGAUGCAUGUUAUUCGGGAACUCAGAGGAGAUAUGAUCAUGUCACCAACCUGCCAGACUCCUACCAAGAUUCGCACUAGCCCAAGAUGGUAUCCAUACUUCAACGUGAGAAAUGAUAUGCUUGAUAUGUAG